CGGCGAUGUCCGAAUGGGGAAACCCAGUGCAAUUCGUUGCACUAUCGUUAACUGAAUACAUAGGUUAACGAGGCGAACCGGGGGAACUGAAACAUCUAAGUACCCCGAGGAAAAGAAAUCAACCGAGAUUCCCCCAGUAGCGGCGAGCGAACGGGGAGCAGCCCAGAGUCUGAAUCAGCUUGUGUGUUAGUGGAACGGUCUGGAAAGUCCGACGGUACAGGGUGAUAGUCCCGUACACCAAAAUGCACAGGCUGUGAACUCGAAGAGUAGGGCGGGACACGUGGUAUCCUGUCUGAAUAUGGGGGGACCAUCCUCCAAGGCUAAAUACUCCUGACUGACCGAUAGUGAACCAGUACCGUGAGGGAAAGGCGAAAAGAACCCCGGCGAGGGGAGUGAAAAAGAACCUGAAACCGUGUACGUACAAGCAGUGGGAGCACCUUCGGGUGUGACUGCGUACCUUUUGUAUAAUGGGUCAGCGACUUAUAUUCUGUAGCAAGGUUAACCGUAUAGGGGAGCCGCAGGGAAACCGAGUCUUAACUGGGCGUUAAGUUGCAGGGUAUAGACCCGAAACCCGGUGAUCUAGCCAUGGGCAGGUUGAAGGUUGGGUAACACUAACUGGAGGACCGAACCGACUAAUGUUGAAAAAUUAGCGGAUGACUUGUGGCUGGGGGUGAAAGGCCAAUCAAACCGGGAGAUAGCUGGUUCUCCCCGAAAGCUAUUUAGGUAGCGCCUCGUGAAUUCAUCUUCGGGGGUAGAGCACUGUUUCGGCUAGGGGGUCAUCCCGACUUACCAACCCGAUGCAAACUACGAAUACCGAAGAAUGUUAUCACGGGAGACACACGGCGGGUGCUAACGUCCGUCGUGAAGAGGGAAACAACCCAGACCGCCAGCUAAGGUCCCAAAGUCAUGGUUAAGUGGGAAACGAUGUGGGAAGGCACAGACAGCCAGGAUGUUGGCUUAGAAGCAGCCAUCAUUUAAAGAAAGCGUAAUAGCUCACUGGUCGAGUCGGCCUGCGCGGAAGAUGUAACGGGGCUAAACCAUGCACCGAAGCUGCGGCAGCGACACUAUGUGUUGUUGGGUAGGGGAGCGUUCUGUAAGCCUGCGAAGGUGUGCUGUGAGGCAUGCUGGAGGUAUCAGAAGUGCGAAUGCUGACAUAAGUAACGAUAAAGCGGGUGAAAAGCCCGCUCGCCGGAAGACCAAGGGUUCCUGUCCAACGUUAAUCGGGGCAGGGUGAGUCGACCCCUAAGGCGAGGCCGAAAGGCGUAGUCGAUGGGAAACAGGUUAAUAUUCCUGUACUUGGUGUUACUGCGAAGGGGGGACGGAGAAGGCUAUGUUAGCCGGGCGACGGUUGUCCCGGUUUAAGCAUGUAGGCUGAUUGUCCAGGCAAAUCCGGAUAAUCAAGGCUGAGGUGUGAUGACGAGGCACUACGGUGCUGAAGUAACAAAUGCCCUGCUUCCAGGAAAAGCCUCUAAGCAUCAGGUAACAUCAAAUCGUACCCCAAACCGACACAGGUGGUCAGGUAGAGAAUACCAAGGCGCUUGAGAGAACUCGGGUGAAGGAACUAGGCAAAAUGGUGCCGUAACUUCGGGAGAAGGCACGCUGGUGUGUAGGUGAAGCCCCUGCGGGUGGAGCUGAGACCAGUCGAAGAUACCAGCUGGCUGCAACUGUUUAUUAAAAACACAGCACUGUGCAAACACGAAAGUGGACGUAUACGGUGUGACGCCUGCCCGGUGCCGGAAGGUUAAUUGAUGGGGUUAUCCGUAAGGAGAAGCUCUUGAUCGAAGCCCCGGUAAACGGCGGCCGUAACUAUAACGGUCCUAAGGUAGCGAAAUUCCUUGUCGGGUAAGUUCCGACCUGCACGAAUGGCGUAAUGAUGGCCAGGCUGUCUCCACCCGAGACUCAGUGAAAUUGAACUCGCUGUGAAGAUGCAGUGUACCCGCGGCAAGACGGAAAGACCCCGUGAACCUUUACUAUAGCUUGACACUGAACAUUGAGCCUUGAUGUGUAGGAUAGGUGGGAGGCUUUGAAGCGUGGACGCCAGUCUGCGUGGAGCCAACCUUGAAAUACCACCCUUUAAUGUUUGAUGUUCUAACGUUGGCCCCUUACCGGGGUUGCGGACAGUGUCUGGUGGGUAGUUUGACUGGGGCGGUCUCCUCCCAAAGCGUAACGGAGGAGCACGAAGGUUAGCUAAUCCUGGUCGGACAUCAGGAGGUUAGUGCAAUGGCAUAAGCUAGCUUGACUGCGAGCGUGACGGCGCGAGCAGGUGCGAAAGCAGGUCAUAGUGAUCCGGUGGUUCUGAAUGGAAGGGCCAUCGCUCAACGGAUAAAAGGUACUCCGGGGAUAACAGGCUGAUACCGCCCAAGAGUUCAUAUCGACGGCGGUGUUUGGCACCUCGAUGUCGGCUCAUCACAUCCUGGGGCUGAAGUAGGUCCCAAGGGUAUGGCUGUUCGCCAUUUAAAGUGGUACGCGAGCUGGGUUUAGAACGUCGUGAGACAGUUCGGUCCCUAUCUGCCGUGGGCGCUGGAGAAUUGAGGGGGGCUGCUCCUAGUACGAGAGGACCGGAGUGGACGCAUCACUGGUGUUCGGGUUGUCAUGCCAAUGGCACUGCCCGGUAGCUAAAUGCGGAAGAGAUAAGUGCUGAAAGCAUCUAAGCACGAAACUUGCCCCGAGAUGAGUUCUCCCUGAGACUUUAAGUCUCCUGAAGGAACGUUAAAGACGAUGACGUUGAUAGGCCGGGUGUGUAAGCGCAGCGAUGCGUUGAGCUAACCGGUACUAAUGAACCGUGAGGCUUAACCUU
Molecule: ribosomal RNA, 2797 nt
Filed under: Klebsiella pneumoniae
Lineage: Bacteria; Pseudomonadati; Pseudomonadota; Gammaproteobacteria; Enterobacterales; Enterobacteriaceae
Description: bacterial LSU rRNA
Rfam family: Bacterial large subunit ribosomal RNA
Source: RNAcentral